GUCCAGACUCCUACGGGAGGCAGCAGUGGGGAAUAUUGCACAAUGGGGGAAACCCUGAUGCAGCAACGCCGCGUGAGUGAAGAAGUAUUUCGAUAUGUAAAGCUCUAUCAGCAGGGAAGAAGAUGACGGUACCUGAGUAAGAAGCCCCGGCUAACUACGUGCCAGCAGCCGCGGUAAUACGUAGGGGGCAAGCGUUAUCCGGAUUUACUGGGUGUAAAGGGAGCGUAGACGGCUGUGCAAGCCAGAUGUGAAAGCCCGGGGCUCAACCCCGGGACUGCAUUUGGAACUGUGUGGCUGGAGUGUCGGAGAGGCAGGCGGAAUUCCUAGUGUAGCGGUGAAAUGCGUAGAUAUUAGGAGGGACACCAGUGGCGAAGGCGGCCUGCUGGACGAUGACUGACGUUGAGGCUCGAAAGCGUGGGGAGCAAACAGGAUUAGAUACCCUCGUAC
RNAcentral lists this ribosomal RNA (447 nucleotides) under uncultured bacterium. Its description in RNAcentral is "bacterial SSU rRNA". It matches the Rfam family "Bacterial small subunit ribosomal RNA", at positions 329 to 793 of the family's 1533-position model. The record is from RNAcentral.